This 319-nucleotide long non-coding RNA is filed under the name Coccomyxa subellipsoidea. RNAcentral describes it as "long non-coding RNA (CSUB_LNC000207)". Lineage: Eukaryota; Viridiplantae; Chlorophyta; Trebouxiophyceae; Coccomyxaceae. The record is from RNAcentral.
CCAGACCCACCUUGCAUCGAUCCAGGCCUGCUAUAGUUCUUCGCGAUCGUGACUUUCUGCCUAUCUCUUUUCGAUCUUAAGUCGGGCCAUGCAAGUUUUCCAGAGUCCUUAUUCUCUUUUGCUGCCACACAGCACCAGACAGGUCUAGGUAAACGUGUCCUCGCGUCUUCAGGGAUGAUCAUACACUGCUAUUGAUUAAUAACGUCUUUAGAGAUCAUUUGAGGCCCCCUCGGUGGAGAUCGCUUGUACUCUGGCCAGCAAGGCGCCUUGCAGGGUACGCAUCACUGCCCACCAACAUACACCAAAAGCCUUCUUGAGG